Long non-coding RNA from Erigeron canadensis, 474 nucleotides. RefSeq lists it as uncharacterized. The record is from RefSeq and is a predicted model, not a curated record. The transcript is spliced from 2 exons. NCBI's taxonomy places the organism in Eukaryota, Viridiplantae, Streptophyta, Magnoliopsida, Asterales, Asteraceae.
UACUUUUAUAUAUGCCUUGGGUCAGUUACCAUUCAUGUUGAGUGAGUCCAUGGUGGUAUUUGAUUUGGCGUUAAGUCCCAUGUUUAUGGUUGAGUUUGAUUACAGGCCUAAUCGGUGGCCAUAGACUCAUGUGGAGCAUUUCUUAUUGAUAUAUUUGAUUGUGAUGGUUGUCCCGGAUGCGGAAGAAUGUAAGUAUUGUAAAGAUUGAAGUUAAAGAUGCUUAAUGGAUAUUGGUUGCUUUGGUUAAAUGCGGAUAAUGGCAUUGGUAAUAGGACCCAUAGUGACCCCUUUGAACUAUCGGCUCUUUGUACGCUUGUUAUGUCUUUUUGGAGAAUUAUUAUGAUGUCUAGUGUUGGACUCGAGUUUUUGGGUAUUUCAAAUGGGUCGUUUUGUAGUUGUAAUGUAUUGAUUUUGUUUAAACGUGUUUUGGAGAAACUCAUAAUCCGUAACAGGUUUGGAUGAUGAUUUUACGAA